GAUGAAGAACGUAGCGAAAUGCGAUAAGUAAUGUGAAUUGCAGAAUUCAGUGAAUCAUCGAAUCUUUGAACGCACAUUGCGCCCGCUAGUAUUCUGGCGGGCAUGCCUGUCUGAGCGUCAUUUCACCAAUCCCCCGGGCAUUCGUGUCGGGGGGCUGUUGGGGAUCGCCGACCGCCCUAGGGCGGGUGACGUCCCCUAAACUUAGUGGCAGCCUCGCCGCGGCCUCCCCUGCGUAGUAAACACUCUCGCGGGCGGAGUCACAGCGAAGGAUAGCCGUAAAACCCCCAACUUCUUAAUGGUUGACCUCAGAUCAGGUAGGAAUACCCGCUGAACUUAAGCAUAUCAAUAAGCGGAAGGA
RNAcentral lists this unclassified non-coding RNA (358 nucleotides) under soil metagenome. Its description in RNAcentral is "partial contains 5.8S ribosomal RNA, internal transcribed spacer 2, and large subunit ribosomal RNA". The stretch from base 1 to 120 matches the Rfam family "5.8S ribosomal RNA", at positions 35 to 154 of the family's 154-position model. The record is from RNAcentral.